This 253-nucleotide ribosomal RNA is filed under the name uncultured bacterium. RNAcentral's name for it is "partial 16S ribosomal RNA". It matches the Rfam family "Bacterial small subunit ribosomal RNA", at positions 524 to 776 of the family's 1533-position model. The record is from RNAcentral.
UACGAAGGGGGCUAGCGUUGCUCGGAUUUACUGGGCGUAAAGGGCGCGUAGGCGGUUCUUACAGUCAGACGUGAAAUUCCUGGGCUCAACCUGGGGGCUGCGUUUGAUACGUGCGGACUUGAGUGCGGAAGAGGGUCGUGGAAUUCCCAGUGUAGAGGUGAAAUUCGUAGAUAUUGGGAAGAACACCGGUGGCGAAGGCGGCGACCUGGUCCGAUACUGACGCUGAGGCGCGAAAGCGUGGGGAGCAAACAGG